UACAGAGGGUGCGAGCGUUAAUCGGAAUUACUGGGCGUAAAGCGUGCGUAGUCGGUUAUUUAAGUCGGAUGUGAAAGCCCCGGGCUCAACCUGGGAAUUGCAUUCGAGACUGAAUAGCUAGGGUGCGGUAGAGGGAAGCGGAAUUUCCGGUGUAGCGGUGAAAUGCGUAGAUAUCGGAAGGAACAUCAGUGGCGAAAGCGGCUUCCUGGACCAGCACCGACGUUCAGGCACGAAAGCGUGGGGAGCAAACAGG
Molecule: ribosomal RNA, 253 nt
Filed under: uncultured bacterium
Lineage: Bacteria
Description: partial 16S ribosomal RNA
Rfam family: Bacterial small subunit ribosomal RNA
Source: RNAcentral